GAAAAACUUAAGAUCUCACCAAAUCUGAGUUUUCUUUUAAGAAUCAACAAAUGUACCCUCUGCUCUUCAUGAACAUAUCCUUAUUCACCGACCUGAAAUAACCUCUCGGUGAUGCUAAAAUAGGUCAACUUGUACAACACAUUCCUUAGAAAUAUUUGUUUAAAAACCUUGAUCUGGCUCUGGAUUUCUUUUGAAUGAAUCAUAAGAGUCUGGAUGAUAAAAAGAAUUAUGUUUAGAAAAAUGUAUUAGAAACAGAAACAUUGGAUAAAAAUAUAUAGAAAUUUCUUUCGGUAGAAAUCUAUGUAUUUUUGAACCCUUCUUCAGAAGACUGUUCCCUUGAAAAAAGAUUCUGGUUGAGUAACAACCUGAUAAAGGAGGAAGUGACCUUGACAAUCAUGCCUACCAGUUAAGAGGGGAAAUGUUUGAAAGUGGAAAUCUACAAGUGGUUCUUUAUAUAAAAACCAUUAACAAUAGGUGGAAUUCUCUCGAGGUCAGAAUGCAUACUGUGACGUUUAAGAAUCCACUUUAUGCUGUUUCAGAACUGCAAACUAAUGGAUGGGCCAGGAAUGCUCCCAAGAAAUGAUGAAUAAUGUCAACGCGAAGAUUUUAAUCAUUAACUUCAGAGCAACAUCAGACUCACGUCCAGGUUCAGGAGCAAGUACAGAAGGACGGUGGUCAGAAAGAUGACAUAUUUGCUAACUGACUGGAAGCUUCGAGAUAGUGAAGGAAAAAGGUGGACUAGGUAUCCAGAGAAGCCCUCCUGGUUGCAGAGCAACUCAACUGCAAGCACAAUAUUUGAAAAUAUCUUUGAAGUACAUGACUGGACUGGCAAAAUAGUAGAUGAAAUCCUCAGAGAUCUGACAUAGGAAAAAAGCAUGACUCCAAAUAGGUAAGAAAAUGAGGAAGUUAGCAUCUGCCAACUCCUAAUGGCCAAGAGCAGGGGGUCAGCAAACUAUAGACCAUGGGCUACAUCUAGCC
RNAcentral lists this long non-coding RNA (978 nucleotides) under Vulpes vulpes (red fox). RNAcentral describes it as "lncRNA (ENSVVUG00000026271.1)". Lineage: Eukaryota; Metazoa; Chordata; Mammalia; Carnivora; Canidae. The record is from RNAcentral.